RNAcentral lists this ribosomal RNA (301 nucleotides) under uncultured bacterium. Its description in RNAcentral is "partial 16S ribosomal RNA". It matches the Rfam family "Bacterial small subunit ribosomal RNA", at positions 509 to 809 of the family's 1533-position model. The record is from RNAcentral.
CAGUAGCCGCGGGAAUACAGAGGGUGCGAGCGUUAAUCGGAUUUACUGGGCGUAAAGCGUGCGUAGGCGGCUUCUUAAGUCGGAUGUGAAAUCCCUGAGCUUAACUUAGGAAUUGCAUUCGAUACUGGGAAGCUAGAGUAUGGGAGAGGAUGGUAGAAUUCCAGGUGUAGCGGUGAAAUGCGUAGAGAUCUGGAGGAAUACCGAUGGCGAAGGCAGCCAUCUGGCCUAAUACUGACGCUGAGGUACGAAAGCAUGGGGAGCAAACAGGAUUAGAUACCCGAGUAGUCUUGUCUCUUAUACA